RNAcentral lists this ribosomal RNA (434 nucleotides) under uncultured bacterium. RNAcentral describes it as "partial 16S ribosomal RNA". It matches the Rfam family "Bacterial small subunit ribosomal RNA", at positions 29 to 506 of the family's 1533-position model. The record is from RNAcentral.
AGCGAACGCUGGCGGCAGGCUUAACACAUGCAAGUCGAGCGGGCACCUUCGGGUGUCAGCGGCAGACGGGUGAGUAACACGUGGGAACGUACCCUUCGGUUCGGAAUAACGCUGGGAAACUAGCGCUAAUACCGGAUACGCCCUUAUGGGGAAAGGUUUACUGCCGAAGGAUCGGCCCGCGUCUGAUUAGCUAGUUGGUGGGGUAACGGCCUACCAAGGCGACGAUCAGUAGCUGGUCUGAGAGGAUGAUCAGCCACACUGGGACUGAGACACGGCCCAGACUCCUACGGGAGGCAGCAGUGGGGAAUAUUGGACAAUGGGCGCAAGCCUGAUCCAGCCAUGCCGCGUGAGUGAUGAAGGCCUUAGGGUUGUAAAGCUCUUUUGUCCGGGACGAUAAUGACGGUACCGGAAGAAUAAGCCCCGGCUAACUUCGU